GGACCCGCACAAGCGGUGGAUGAUGUGGAUUAAUUCGAUGCAACGCGAAAAACCUUACCUACCCUUGACAUGUCAGGAAUUUUGCAGAGAUGCGAAAGUGCUCGAAAGAGAGCCUGAACACAGGUGCUGCAUGGCUGUCGUCAGCUCGUGUCGUGAGAUGUUGGGUUAAGUCCCGCAACGAGCGCAACCCUUGUCAUUAGUUGCUACGCAAGGGCACUCUAAUGAGACUGCCGGUGACAAACCGGAGGAAGGUGGGGACGACGUCAAGUCCUCAUGGCCCUUAUGGGUAGGGCUUCACACGUCAUACAAUGGUUGGUACAGAGGGUUGCGAACCCGCGAGGGGGAGCUAAUCCCAAAAAACCAUCGUAGUCCGGAUUGCAGUCUGCAACUCGACUGCAUGAAGUCGGAAUCGCUAGUAAUCGCGGAUC
This 428-nucleotide ribosomal RNA is filed under the name uncultured bacterium. RNAcentral describes it as "bacterial SSU rRNA". It matches the Rfam family "Bacterial small subunit ribosomal RNA", at positions 917 to 1350 of the family's 1533-position model. The record is from RNAcentral.